GACGAACGCUGGCGGCGUGCCUAAUACAUGCAAGUUGAGCGAUGAAGCUUGGUGCUUGCACCAAUUUGAAGAGCAGCGAACGGGUGAGUAACGCGUGGGGAAUCUGCCUUUGAGCGGGGGACAACAUUUGGAAACGAAUGCUAAUACCGCAUAACAACUUUAAACAUAAGUUUUAAGUUUGAAAGAUGCAAUUGCAUCACUCAAAGAUGAUCCCGCGUUGUAUUAGCUAGUUGGUGAGGUAAAGGCUCACCAAGGCGAUGAUACAUAGCCGACCUGAGAGGGUGAUCGGCCACAUUGGGACUGAGACACGGCCCAAACUCCUACGGGAGGCAGCAGUAGGGAAUCUUCGGCAAUGGACGAAAGUCUGACCGAGCAACGCCGCGUGAGUGAGGAAGGUUUUCGGAUCGUAAAACUCUGUUGGUAGAGAAGAACGUUGGUGAGAGUGGAAAGCUCAUCAAGUGACGGUAACUACCCAGAAAGGGACGGCUAACUACGUG
This 497-nucleotide ribosomal RNA is filed under the name uncultured bacterium. Its description in RNAcentral is "partial 16S ribosomal RNA". It matches the Rfam family "Bacterial small subunit ribosomal RNA", at positions 28 to 507 of the family's 1533-position model. The record is from RNAcentral.